This 253-nucleotide ribosomal RNA is filed under the name uncultured bacterium. RNAcentral describes it as "partial 16S ribosomal RNA". It matches the Rfam family "Bacterial small subunit ribosomal RNA", at positions 524 to 776 of the family's 1533-position model. The record is from RNAcentral.
UACAGAGGUCUCGAGCGUUAAUCGGAAUUACUGGGCUUAAAGGGUGCGUAGGCGGCGCUGUAAGUGCCUUGUGAAAUCCCAUGGCUUAACCAUGGAAUUGCUCGGCAGACUGCAGUGCUUGAGGUUGGUAGGGGUCGCUGGAACUCUAGGUGGAGCGGUGAAAUGCGUAGAUAUCUAGAGGAGCGCCAAAGGUGUAGACAGGCGACUGGGCCAAUUCUGACGCUGAGGCACGAAAGCGUGGGUAGCGAACGGG